Molecule: ribosomal RNA, 301 nt
Filed under: uncultured bacterium
Lineage: Bacteria
Description: partial 16S ribosomal RNA
Rfam family: Bacterial small subunit ribosomal RNA
Source: RNAcentral
CAGCCGCCGCGGUAAUACGAGGGGGGCAAGCGUUGUUCGGAUUUAUUGGGCGUAAAGGGUGCGUAGGCGGGUUGGCAAGUCUUGUGUGAAAUCUUCGGGCUCAACCCGAAGCCUGCACGAGAAACUACCGGGCUUGAGUAUUGGAGAGGUGAGUGGAAUUUCCGGUGUAGCGGUGAAAUGCGUAGAUAUCGGAAGGAACACCUGUGGCGAAAGCGGCUCACUGGACCAUAACUGACGCUGAUGCACGAAAGCUAGGGGAGCAAACAGGAUUAGAUACCCGCGUAGUCCCUGUCUCUUAUAC